This is a long non-coding RNA of Peromyscus eremicus (cactus mouse), 346 nucleotides long. RefSeq lists it as uncharacterized. NCBI's taxonomy places the organism in Eukaryota, Metazoa, Chordata, Mammalia, Rodentia, Cricetidae. The transcript is spliced from 3 exons. The record is from RefSeq and is a predicted model, not a curated record.
GGUUAAGCUUUUAGGCUGAAGCUGAGAUUCAUUCUGGAUGAGGACUGAGAAGCUUCCAGUCUGAGGAAACAGGAUCAGCUGAGGAACUGUCGAGACAUCACAGAAUAUUUUUAAUGCUAUGAGGAAAUUGCUGAGAUAGAAGGGAGGUGCUGUCCCGUUCAUCACAAACAUUUCUUGAAUUACCACAUGUUCUCUCCAAGACAGCCUAUUUGUGGAUAUAUUCUAUUCCUGGAACACGGAUGUCUAGGGAGAAGAUAAGCUCCCUGCAUAUGGAGUGAGACAUGAAGUGGACCUUGGAUCAUACAGGCUAAUGUCACCCAGUGGUUCUGCUGGUCCCAUGUGUCAC